UAAUACGUAGGGUGCGAGCGUUAAUCGGAAUUACUGGGCGUAAAGCGUGCGCAGGCGGUUGUGUAAGUCAGAUGUGAAAUCCCCGGGCUCAACCUGGGAACUGCAUUUGAGACUGCACGGCUAGAGUGUAGCAGAGGGGGGUAGAAUUCCACGUGUAGCAGUGAAAUGCGUAGAGAUGUGGAGGAAUACCGAUGGCGAAGGCAGCCCCCUGGGUUACUACUGACGCUCAUGCACGAAAGCGUGGGGAGCAAACAGG
RNAcentral lists this ribosomal RNA (256 nucleotides) under uncultured bacterium. Its description in RNAcentral is "partial 16S ribosomal RNA". It matches the Rfam family "Bacterial small subunit ribosomal RNA", at positions 521 to 776 of the family's 1533-position model. The record is from RNAcentral.